UUGGAUAUUUCAGUAAUUGACGGUUCUUACAUGCAAACCCUAAAAACUUCCUCCAUUUGGCAAUAUUUGUUCUGAUAUUUUCUGCAGUUUUUUGGUUCUUUAUAGAUCACAACGAAGUACCUCUACUGGUGUAAUACUUAUGUUAUCCUGCUCGUGAAGUCAAAAACAACAGACCAGAAAGACUCCCUUUUCCCCCAAAACACUGGUGACAUAUUCAGCUCAUCUUGACAUGGCAGGCCAGAGGAAUAACUUUGGGAAGAGAAUGCAAUCGGAAUCUGACUAUACUAGGAAUGACGGAAGUAAGAGAAGGAAUCCAACUGAUGAAAAAGAAUCAAAUUCCAUUGGUCCAGAGGAUACUGUUUUUCGUUAUUUGUGCCCCACAGGAAAAAUCGGAAGUAUCAUUGGAGUUGGUGGGGACAUUGCAAAACAAUUAAGGACUGAAACUAAUUCAAAGAUUAGGAUAAGCGAGACCAUUCCUGGCUGCGAGGAGCGUGUGGUAACUAUUUAUAGCGCAAGUGAAGAAACUAAUGUCUAUGAAGAUACUGGUGAUCUGAUUUCACCUGCUCAAGAUGCUCUAUUGAAGGUGCAUGACCGAGUCUUUGCUGAAGAACUGCGUAUGGAAGAAGACCUAGAGGAUCCUCAGCAGAUUACGAUAAGAAUGCUUGUCCCAUCAGAUCAAAUAGGUUGUGUGAUAGGGAAAGGUGGGCAAGUAAUCCAGAAUAUGCGCAGUGAAACAGGCGCACAAAUUCGGGUAUUAAGCAGUGAGCACUUGCCGCCUUGUGCCUUAAGCUCCGAUGAACUUAUCCAGAUAACUGGAGAAGGUGCAGUUGUUAAGAAAGCACUUUAUCAAGUAGCAGCGCGCCUCCGUGAUAAUCCAUCACGGUCCCAACAUCAAUUGCUGUCGUCGCCCAGCAUAUAUAGGUCUGGUGCUGGACUUGUUAAUCCUCAUGCGGGUCCCCAAGUCAUGGGCAUGACAUCAUUGAUGGGUCCUUAUGGGAGUUACAAAAGUGAUGGUAGAAGUCGAUCUGCUUCUGUAAAGGAGUUUGCAGUUCGUUUGGUUUGUCCAACUGAAAAUAUAGGAGCUGUAAUUGGCAAAGGUGGAAGCAUUAUCAAACAGCUAAGACAGGAAUCAGGUGCAUCUAUUAAAGUCGAUAGUGCUGCAGCUGAAGGAGAUGAUUGCAUUAUAUUUGUAUCAGCUAAGGAGGCAUAUGAAGAUCAAUCCCCAACCAUUGAUGCAAUAAUGCGCUUGCAACCAAGAAGUAGUGAGAAAACUGAAAAAGAUUCUGGUGAUGCUAUUCUGACGACUCGCCUGCUUGUACCUAGCUCACGAGUUGGAUGCCUAAUCGGUAAAGGUGGUUCCAUUGUCAAUGAGAUGCGAAAUACCACAAGGGCGAGCAUCCGCAUUCUUUCGAAGGAAAAUCUUCCUAAAGUGGCAUCUGAAGAUGACGAGAUGGUGCAGAUAACUGGAGAUGUUAAUGUUGCUGCCAAUGCGUUAUUACAAGUACUUAUGCGGUUGAGGGCCAAUAUAUUUGAGAUGGAGGGAAGUUUUGCUGCAUUUUCUCCUCCUGUUUCUUACCUCCCCUUGUCUCCAAGCAUGUCAGAUGGUUCAAGAUAUGCAAACCGUGAUAAUAAAUCACGUCGGCAUGGUUAUUCAUCAUAUUCUGGUGGACAUGAUUAUAAUGAUUCGUCUCCAAGUGAUAGUUAUGGCGGUUCACAGGUUGGUGGUGGAGGUGGUUAUGCACCAUAUGGCGUUUAUUCCUCUGGGCGAUCUAGUAGUGCAGGGGUUUCCAGCCAUAACUCUUCUGCCUAUGGUAAAUCCUACGGAUACUAGGUUGAGCACAUGGAGCUUUUUAAUUAUUGAACCAAAGUUCAAGAAAGUCAGGUUUCCGCAUUUCAGGAGGUAAAAUGGUAAAAGGUACUUUUUAUUCCUUUUCAGGUUGGUGAGUAGGCGUGAAUAUGCUUUCAGACAUGUAUGUGAUAAGUGAUCGAUAGAUAAUUUAGUUCUCAUGCUAAAUUCCUAUGAGGUAAGUAAUUUUCUCUUUUGCAAAUGCUAAUUUUUUCAUUGAUCUGGAAACUAGAGAGCAAGAACUCAACAUGAGACAGAUUUUAAGAUUUUGGUAGAAAACGUACACAUACAUGUCAAAUAUUUGAGGAGGAAAGAAGCCGGUGGUAUUGUGCUUAGCCAGUAAACAUCAUCCUUGUACUGGCAAGAGAGGCGUCUUAGCCCAUUAUGACAAAGGGAGAUUACUUUUGAUGGAAAAACAUGACAUCUUGAUUAGACCAGUAUUAGUUAUGAUAUGGAACCAUAUCACAUGUGCGCCCCCCAUUUUUUUUUCUGUUUUUCUUUCCCUUUUGGGGGCUUUAUAUGAAGCCCCAUAUCUGGGCUGUGGUGACUUUACAGUUGUGGGAUAACUGGGAUUCCAUGUCUAAGUUGUUUUUUUUAAUUAGCUAUUAUUUAUUCUUUGAGCAUGGAUUGUGUGUGGAGAAAAAUGGGGUUUGCUUUAUGAUAUACAGUAGAUUUAUUUGUUGCAUUCUUUUUGCUUCCCGGUGCUAAUUUAGAACUCUACACCAAACUUUCUAAGCUGAUCCAAUUUCUUUUCUUUUCUGGAAUUCAUGCUCCAUUAACAAGGUUAUUUUUAGUCUGCUGUUUGCAUGCCGUGUUAAAUUCUAUCUGGGACGCUCUGCCGGUAGGGCGGUGUGUGCAUUUUUGCCCAAAAGAUGUGAUGUUUCACCCUAUCUCAAAGUGGUCUAAAAGUUUGCUAGCACACAAGCAUGAAGCAAGUGAUUGUUAUGUGUUGUUGUACUAGUGACUGCACAUCUGAGGCUUAAGUUUCUUUAUGACUUUCAAUUGGAUUGCUGGUGUUUUCAUCUUCAGAAGUUUAAAAAUUCCACAAGUGCGAUGGAUUCUGUUGGCUUAAGGUGAGAAAGGAUGUUGUCGAUUUGUAUAAAGCAUAUAUACAAAUUGUUCUAAGAAAACUUGAAUUCAAAUUGGAAGGCAGGACAGGGUUCACCCAUUGAAUAGGCAACUUUUGUGGCCAUUUAAAGCAUUCUUCUAUUUGACUUGCUGCAGAGUAAAUACACAAACAUAUUAGUUACUAGGUAUUAAAUCAUUUAAAAGACAACAACAGGUCUCGUUCGACUAUUCCAGUGCACUGAAUGGUCGUCGUGUGUGCAAAUCAGUUUGGGCACCACUAACAUCUUUUCUAAAAAAGACGGGAGCGGUUCAGAAGCUCAAGAGUAUCAUUAAUCAAGACUUUGCUCGCCAAAAAAAUAGAGUUGCCAAAAGUUCAGUUCUAGAAAGGAAUUGUGUUUGCUGAAGUGGUGUUCAAUUGAAUUUUAUACUUCUUGGGGUUCAAGUGUUAUACCAUUUGUUUGAGGCAAGCAAGUUCGUGUUACAUUUUUUAUCA
Non-coding RNA from Nicotiana tabacum (common tobacco), 3407 nucleotides. The record is from RefSeq and is a predicted model, not a curated record. NCBI's taxonomy places the organism in Eukaryota, Viridiplantae, Streptophyta, Magnoliopsida, Solanales, Solanaceae.